CGGCUUUUGCUGGCCGCUGUCUUCUUAGAGGGACUAACAGCGUUUAGCUGUUGGAAGUUUGAGGCAAUAACAGGUCUGUGAUGCCCUUAAAUGUUCUGGGCCGCACGCGCGCUACACUGACUGAGCCAGCGAGUUUAUAACCUUGGCCGAAAGGUCUGGGUAAUCUUGUGAAACUCAGUCGUGCUGGGGAUAGAGCAUUGCAAUUAUUGCUCUUCAACGAGGAAUGCCUAGUAAGCGCAAGUCAUCAGCUUGCGUUGAUUACGUCCCUGCCCUUUGUACACACCGCCCGUCGCUACUACCGAUUGAAUGGCUC
This 313-nucleotide ribosomal RNA is filed under the name uncultured fungus. RNAcentral describes it as "SSU rRNA". It matches the Rfam family "Eukaryotic small subunit ribosomal RNA", at positions 1387 to 1699 of the family's 1831-position model. The record is from RNAcentral. Lineage: Eukaryota; Fungi.